GUGGGGAGGAAGACUUCCUCGAUCCUUGGAGAACAUGGAGGCCUGAUCCAGUUGACUGAAGAACAGCUUUUACUGUCAGGGGAAAGCAGGACAAGUGAGGUGAGAAGAGACAAGAAACACCCAGUCAGGUUCUGAGCAUGGAUGAGCUGCAGCAGGGCAGAGUGGGAGGGACUGUGGGUCUGUCACAGGCUGUCUCCUGAGCCUGCUUGCACUUCAGGAGACCCCUGGCAUCUGACCUGGUGGUCCUCAGGAGAUAGUGAGGAUCCUGAAGCAGAGCUUGAGUAGUCCAGGUCUCCAUUGUCUUGAAAUGAGGACAAGCUUUGUUGUAAGUCUGCAAGUGCCUCCAGCUGCUGCUUCAUCUGCCUCUGCCUUC
This is a long non-coding RNA of Apodemus sylvaticus (European woodmouse), 373 nucleotides long. RefSeq lists it as uncharacterized. The record is from RefSeq and is a predicted model, not a curated record. The transcript has 3 exons. Lineage: Eukaryota; Metazoa; Chordata; Mammalia; Rodentia; Muridae.